UUGGGUUCCCACUCUUUUCUCUUCAUCAGCAAACUAGACGCUUGCCCUUGUACGAAAAGAAAAGGCUUCCUUCGAUCUAACCGAUAGAAUUAUUGGUGAACUGAUUAAACCAGCGACAUGUUCUAGAUCCAUGGCGGUUGCAUCCCUAUCAGGCUACCGGGGGAAGCUGCAGGUCAGCCAGACCCUGAAACUGCUUCUCUCCGGUGAACACCUAGU
Molecule: long non-coding RNA, 216 nt
Filed under: Spirodela polyrhiza (greater duckweed)
Lineage: Eukaryota; Viridiplantae; Streptophyta; Magnoliopsida; Alismatales; Araceae
Description: long non-coding RNA (SPOL_LNC001523)
Source: RNAcentral